AUUGAACGCUGGCGGCAGGCCUAACACAUGCAAGUCGAGCGGAUGAAGGGAGCUUGCUCCUGGAUUCAGCGGCGGACGGGUGAGUAAUGCCUAGGAAUCUGCCUGGUAGUGGGGGAUAACGUCCGGAAACGGGCGCUAAUACCGCAUACGUCCUGAGGGAGAAAGAGGGGGAUUGUCGGACCUCACGCUAUCAGAUGAGCCUAGGUCGGAUUAGCUAGUUGGGGGGGUAUAGGCCUACCAAGGCGACGAUCCGUAACUGGUCUGAGAGGAUGAUGAGUCACACUGGAACGGAGACACGGUCCAGACUCCUACGGAGGGCAGCAGUGGGGAAUAUUGGACAAUGGGGGAAGGCCGGAUCCAGCCAUGCCGCGUGGUGAAAGAAGGUCUUCGGAUUGUAAAGCACUUUAAGUUGGGAGGAAGGGCAGUAAGUUAAUACCUUGCUGUUUUGACGUUACCAACAGAAUAAGCACCGGCUAACUUCGUG
This 484-nucleotide ribosomal RNA is filed under the name uncultured bacterium. Its description in RNAcentral is "partial 16S ribosomal RNA". It matches the Rfam family "Bacterial small subunit ribosomal RNA", at positions 30 to 507 of the family's 1533-position model. The record is from RNAcentral.